Molecule: ribosomal RNA, 341 nt
Filed under: uncultured bacterium
Lineage: Bacteria
Description: bacterial SSU rRNA
Rfam family: Bacterial small subunit ribosomal RNA
Source: RNAcentral
GACGAACGCUGGCGGCGUGCCUAACACAUGCAAGUCAGGGAGAAGGAGGUAGCAAUACUUCCGGAAACCGGCGCACGGGUGAGUAACACGUAGGUAACCUACCCUUGAGCGGGGAACAACAUCGAGAAAUCGGUGCUAAUACCGCAUAAUGCAACGAGACCGCAUGGUUUUGUUGUUAAAGAUCCGCAAGGAUCACUUGAGGAUGGACCUGCGCCCGAUUAGCUAGUUGGCGGAGUAAAAGCCCACCAAGGCAACGAUCGGUAGCCGACCUGAGAGGGUGAUCGGCCACACUGGAACUGAGAUACGGUCCAGACUCCUACGGGAGGCAGCAGUGAGGAAUA